GACGAACGCUGGCGGCGUGCUUAACACAUGCAAGUCGAACGAGGUCUUCGGACCUAGUGGCGAACGGGUGAGUAACACGUGAGGAACGUGCCCCAGAGACCGGGAUAAGCCGAGGAAACUUGGUCUAAUACCGGAUGUCCCCAUCGGAUCGCGUGGUCUGAUGAGGAAAUGGAUUCCGCUCUGGGAGCGCCUCGCGGCCUAUCAGCUAGUUGGUGAGGUAACGGCCCACCAAGGCUUCGACGGGUAGCUGGUCUGAGAGGAUGAUCAGCCACACUGGGACUGAGACACGGCCCAGACUCCUACGGGAGGCAGCAGUGGGGAAUCUUGCGCAAUGGGCGAAAGCCUGACGCAGCAACGCCGCGUGCGGGACGACGGCCCUCGGGUUGUAAACCGCUUUCAGCAGGAACGAUGAUGACGGUACCUGCAGAAGAAGCUCCGGCCAACUACGUGCCAGCCGCCGCGGUAAUU
This 468-nucleotide ribosomal RNA is filed under the name uncultured bacterium. RNAcentral's name for it is "bacterial SSU rRNA". It matches the Rfam family "Bacterial small subunit ribosomal RNA", at positions 28 to 525 of the family's 1533-position model. The record is from RNAcentral.